Molecule: ribosomal RNA, 1287 nt
Filed under: uncultured bacterium
Lineage: Bacteria
Description: bacterial SSU rRNA
Rfam family: Bacterial small subunit ribosomal RNA
Source: RNAcentral
CGAGGGGCAGCGGGGGCGUAGCAAUAUGCCUGCCGGCGACCGGCGCACGGGUGAGUAACACGUAUGUAACCUGCCCUAUGCAGGGGGAUAACCCGGAGAAAUCCGGCCUAAUACCGCGUAAUACCUUAGGGGAGCAUUCUCUUGAGGUUAAAGGAGAGAUCCGGCAUAGGAUGGACAUGCGUCGCAUUAGGUAGACGGCGGGGUAACGGCCCACCGUGCCGACGAUGCGUAGGGGUUCUGAGAGGAAGGCCCCCCACACUGGUACUGAGACACGGACCAGACUCCUACGGGAGGCAGCAGUGAGGAAUAUUGGUCAAUGGCCGAGAGGCUGAACCAGCCAAGUCGCGUGAGGGAAGAAUGUCCUAAGGAUUGUAAACCUCUUUUGUCGGGGAGCAAAAAGGCUCUGCGGAGUCGUAUUGAGAGUACCCGAAGAAAAAGCAUCGGCUAACUCCGUGCCAGCAGCCGCGGUAAUACGGAGGAUGCGAGCGUUAUCCGGAUUUAUUGGGUUUAAAGGGUGCGCAGGCGGCGUGUCAAGCAAGCGGUAAAAUAGCGGGGCUCAACCCCGUCGAGCCGUUUGAACUGGCGCGCUUGAGUUCAGGCGAGGUAGGCGGAAUUCGUGGUGUAGCGGUGAAAUGCAUAGAUAUCAUGAAGAACUCCGAUUGCGAAGGCAGCUUACCAGUCUGCGACUGACGCUCAGGCACGAAAGUGUGGGUAUCGAACAGGAUUAGAUACCUUGGUAGUCCACACAGUAAACGAUGAGCGCUAGGUGUCCGGGUCGAAUGAGGCUUGGGUGCCCGAGCGAAAGCGUUAAGCGCUCCACCUGGGGAGUACGCCGGCAACGGUGAAACUCAAAGGAAUUGACGGGGGCCCGCACAAGCGGAGGAACAUGUGGUUUAAUUCGAUGAUACGCGAGGAACCUUACCCGGGCUCAAACGACUCAGGAAUAUAUUGGAAACGAUGUAGCCAGCAAUGGUCUGAGUCGAGGUGCUGCAUGGUUGUCGUCAGCUCGUGCCGUGAGGUGUCGGCUUAAGUGCCAUAACGAGCGCAACCCCUACCGCCAGUUGCCAACGGGUAAAGCCGGGAACUCUGGCGGGACUGCCGGCGCAAGCUGCGAGGAAGGCGGGGAUGACGUCAAAUCAGCACGGCCCUUACGUCCGGGGCGACACACGUGUUACAAUGGCAGGUACAGCGGGAAGCCACCUGGUGACAGGGAGCGGAACCCGAAAGCCUGUCUCAGUUCGGAUUGGAGUCUGCAACUCGACUCCAUGAAGCUGGAUUCGCUAGUAA